Molecule: ribosomal RNA, 467 nt
Filed under: uncultured organism
Description: partial 16S ribosomal RNA
Rfam family: Bacterial small subunit ribosomal RNA
Source: RNAcentral
CACUCCUACGGGAGGCAGCAGUGAGGAAUAUUGGACCAUGGGUGGAAGCCUGAUCCAGCCAUCCCGCGUGCAGGAAGACGGCCCUAUGGGUUGUAAACUGCUUUUAUCUGGGGAUAAACCUACUUACGUGUAAGUAGCUGAAGGUACCAGAAGAAUAAGCACCGGCUAACUCCGUGCCAGCAGCCGCGGUAAUACGGAGGGUGCAAGCGUUAUCCGGAUUUAUUGGGUUUAAAGGGUCCGUAGGCGGACUGAUAAGUCAGUGGUGAAAUCCGACAGCUUAACUGUCGAACUGCCAUUGAUACUGUUAGUCUUGAGUAAGGUUGAAGUGGCUGGAAUAAGUAGUGUAGCGGUGAAAUGCAUAGAUAUUACUUAGAACACCAAUUGCGAAGGCAGGUCACUAAGUCUUAACUGACGCUGAUGGACGAAAGCGUGGGGAGCGAACAGGAUUAGAAACCCCUGUAGUCCCA